Molecule: RNA transcript, 2187 nt
Organism: Hippocampus comes (tiger tail seahorse)
Lineage: Eukaryota; Metazoa; Chordata; Actinopteri; Syngnathiformes; Syngnathidae
Gene name: receptor-type tyrosine-protein phosphatase delta-like
Exons: 12
Source: RefSeq, a predicted model, not a curated record
UUCUCUUUCUCUCUCCCUCCAAGCCCACGAGCUAUGUGAAUGCACGUCUGUGUGUGUGUGUGUGCGUUUGGAUGUGCACGCGUGAUGGUGUAAAUGUGACAGCGCGCAGCGGCUCAGUUUCCUCGGGAAAAGCGUGAUUUGCUCCCUGCCCGUCUUCUUCUUGGCGCUCUCAUCCAGACGGUGCUCAAGAGAGCAGUUCGCAACAAAACAAAACAAAACAAAACAAAGAACACCUUUUUUGGAAUAAGAAACGCAUUGCUGUGUUCUGACUUGGAUGAAAGGGACUCCUCUGGAAUUUCUUCAGGACUCAAACCUUCAAGCCCUGUUAUCGGGUGCUUUGCCGUUCAACCGCUCCGGCGUGUAUAAUGUGACCGACAGUUCCGCACUAGGGAAAUUCAGAGGAGUUUUGCUCAUCUUCAUUCUGGUCUGAGGCAGCAAUAGCAACUCUUAUUCUUAAUAGAAUUAACAUACUCGUUGCCAUUGUGUUUUCCUGGUUCAGCCACUCCGUUCAGCCGGGCGUGCUGGUUUCACCGGUGGGUCAGCAAGGUACACCCACGGCAUCGGGACAGCAUGUCGGCAUCUGCAUGACCCCAGCCUCAUUUUACGUUCUCUUCCCCGAGACGUCCGCCGCGACAUGAGGCCUGCGGCAGGUCUCAGCAGAGAGAAUGUUCCUUGACUUUCACACUGAACACCUCAAGCUCUUCAAAUCCUGGCAAGUCUGCUUGAGUGCUGAAAGGCUGUGACUACAUUCCCUGCAUCUGAGAAAUCAGAGCGGACUGACUCACAGGGCUCUGUGAGCCAGCGCCACCGAGGCUGCCAAAGCAUGCUGGUGCCGAGCUGUCCCACCAUGCGCCGCGCCAGGCCCGCGCUGAUGCUCGUCGCCCUGGGUCUGCUCGCCCACCUCGUUGACGCUCAAACGCCACCAAAGUUUUUACGGACGCCCAACGACCAAACGGGCGUGCAGGGCGGCGUGGCCUCCUUCAUCUGCCAGGCCACGGGCGACCCGCGGCCCAAGAUCGUGUGGAACAAAAAGGGGAAGAAAGUGAGCAACCAGCGAUUCGAGGUGAUCGAGUUUGACGACGGCUCCGGCUCGGUGCUGCGCAUCCAGCCGCUGCGCACGCCGCGUGACGAGGCCAUAUACGAGUGCGUCGCCUCCAACAGCGUCGGGGAGACCAGCGCGACCACCCGGCUCACCGUUUUGCGUGGUACGUCCCCACUUGGUCAAGGAAAUCCGUCGUUUGUAGCCGCAAUUUUCACCGUACGCGCUCGUACUUUGACUGUAGCGGUUUAAUGUAACUUAUUCACUGCCGUGAACGUUGAUCAUUGUCAAUUGGUAGAGUGGUUGACAUCCGAUCUGGCUGAUAAAACUUUUUAUGUUCGCCUGAGUCCCAAUCUGCCCCAUUGUCGUAAAUUUUGGUGCGCCUGCCGCUUUCGUUGUAUUUGCUACCCGUGGGUUCCAUAUUAAGAAAGUGUGGUAUUUCCUUCGACAGUCAGAACUGUGUCCUGCUGAGCCAAAAGGAUAAUUUCUGACUAAAGCCGCUUUUGUCCUGUCUGGAGGAAAUCAAGGCCUGGAAUGACACUGAAAUGACUGGAUUUCAAUGAAGAGAAAACCGAAGUUAGCAUGUUUGUUAACCCUUGUACAUCCCACUUUGCCGACUUAGGCCCCUUGGGCGCCUUAUCUAAAGCCAAAAGUCUCAAAUGUUUGAAACUGGACAGUGUUAUUCGAAUGUGCUUUAUUUUGGAGACAGCUAGUACUCCCGAAAGCAUUUCCAGUUGGUCCAAAAUGCUGCUGCUUGCCUCCUAACUGGAGCUUGUCGGCGGGACCACAUACCGUAACUCAAAUUCUUGACUCAAAUUCGACAGUUCACUGCCGUCAACAAAUACAUAUUUCAGACAAAUUUUUCAACGGAUAGACGUGGAGAAAGAGCUCGACCAGUUUGUCCGACAAUAUCGAGCUUGGAAAUCACUGCAAUGACAAAAACAUCCCUGUAGAUGGCAACGUUACAGCGCUUUGGAUUUGAGAUCAACAGAGCACAUCUAACAUACCAACACAACAAAACACAACAAGUUUAGAUGUGUUUAAAGUAGAUAGGAGAGACAAAACUGUUUAAAAAGAAAAGCAUGUAAAUAUAAUAUGUACUGUAUCACUCGUGAUGAAUGAAGCUUCACUGUCCGUUUUUUUUUUUU